UACGGAGGGUGCGAGCGUUGUCCGGAAUCACUGGGCGUAAAGGGCGCGUAGGCGGCGCGGGCAGUCAACGGUGAAAGCUUGGGGCUCAACCCCGAGUCGGCCGUCGAUACUCCCGGGCUGGAGCACUGUAGAGGCAGGUGGAAUUCCAGGUGUAGCGGUGAAAUGCGUAGAUAUCUGGAGGAACACCGGUGGCGAAGGCGGCAUCCUGGACCAAUUCUGACGCUGAGGAGCGAAAGCCAGGGGAGCAAACGGG
This 253-nucleotide ribosomal RNA is filed under the name uncultured bacterium. RNAcentral's name for it is "partial 16S ribosomal RNA". It matches the Rfam family "Bacterial small subunit ribosomal RNA", at positions 524 to 776 of the family's 1533-position model. The record is from RNAcentral.